This 344-nucleotide unclassified non-coding RNA is filed under the name soil metagenome. RNAcentral's name for it is "partial contains 5.8S ribosomal RNA, internal transcribed spacer 2, and large subunit ribosomal RNA". The stretch from base 1 to 119 matches the Rfam family "5.8S ribosomal RNA", at positions 36 to 154 of the family's 154-position model. The record is from RNAcentral.
AUGAAGAACGUAGCGAAAUGCGAUACGUAAUGUGAAUUGCAGAAUUCAGUGAAUCAUCGAGUCUUUGAACGCACAUUGCGCCCUCUGGUAUUCCGGAGGGCAUGCCUGUCCGAGCGUCAUUGCUGCCCUCAAGCACGGCUUGUGUGUUGGGCCCCGCCCCCCGAUCCCGGGGGGCGGGCCCGAAAGGCAGCGGCGGCACCGCGUCCGGUCCUCGAGCGUAUGGGGCUUUGUCACCCGCUCUGUAGGCCCGGCCGGCGCCUGCCGAUCAACCAAACUUUUUUCCAGGUUGACCUCGGAUCAGGUAGGGAUACCCGCUGAACUUAAGCAUAUCAAUAAGCGGAGGA